This 105-nucleotide non-coding RNA is filed under the name Rhodoferax saidenbachensis. Its description in RNAcentral is "TPP sequence". It matches the Rfam family "TPP riboswitch aptamer (THI element)". From Rfam's summary of the family: Vitamin B(1) in its active form thiamin pyrophosphate (TPP) is an essential coenzyme that is synthesised by coupling of pyrimidine and thiazole moieties in bacteria. The previously detected thiamin-regulatory element, thi box was extended, resulting in a new, highly conserved RNA secondary structure, the THI element, which is widely distributed in eubacteria and also occurs in some archaea. Lineage: Bacteria; Pseudomonadati; Pseudomonadota; Betaproteobacteria; Burkholderiales; Comamonadaceae. The record is from Rfam by way of RNAcentral.
CCAGCCUGCUAGAGGUGCCGCCCAGAAAUUAUUCCAGGUGGCUGAGAAAUACUCUUCGAACCUGAUCUGGGUCAUGCCAGCGUAGGGAAGCCUGAUACCCAUCGG